This 702-nucleotide ribosomal RNA is filed under the name uncultured Alphaproteobacteria bacterium. RNAcentral's name for it is "bacterial SSU rRNA". It matches the Rfam family "Bacterial small subunit ribosomal RNA", at positions 45 to 795 of the family's 1533-position model. The record is from RNAcentral. Lineage: Bacteria; Pseudomonadati; Pseudomonadota; Alphaproteobacteria.
GGCCUAACACAUGCAAGUCGAGCGAAGACUUCGGUCUUAGCGGCGGACGGGUGAGUAACGCGUGGGAACGUGCCUUUUGCUACGGAAUAGCCCCGGGAAACUGGGAGUAAUACCGUAUACGCCCUUUGGGGGAAAGAUUUAUCGGCAAGAGAUCGGCCCGCGUUGGAUUAGGUAGUUGGUGGGGUAAUGGCCUACCAAGCCGACGAUCCAUAGCUGGUUUGAGAGGAUGAUCAGCCACACUGGGACUGAGACACGGCCCAGACUCCUACGGGAGGCAGCAGUGGGGAAUCUUAGACAAUGGGGGCAACCCUGAUCUAGCCAUGCCGCGUGUGUGAUGAAGGCCUUAGGGUCGUAAAGCACUUUCGCCAGGGAUGAUAAUGACAGUACCUGGUAAAGAAACCCCGGCUAACUCCGUGCCAGCAGCCGCGGUAAUACGGAGGGGGUUAGCGUUGUUCGGAAUUACUGGGCGUAAAGCGCGCGUAGGCGGACCAGUCAGUCAGAGGUGAAAUCCCGGGGCUCAACCCCGGAACUGCCUUUGAUACUGCUGGUCUUGAGGUCGAGAGAGGUGAGUGGAAUUCCGAGUGUAGAGGUGAAAUUCGUAGAUAUUCGGAGGAACACCAGUGGCGAAGGCGGCUCACUGGCUCGAUACUGACGCUGAGGUGCGAAAGCGUGGGAGCAAACAGGAUUAGAUACCCUGUAGUC